Non-coding RNA from Callithrix jacchus (white-tufted-ear marmoset), 31812 nucleotides. The record is from RefSeq and is a predicted model, not a curated record. NCBI's taxonomy places the organism in Eukaryota, Metazoa, Chordata, Mammalia, Primates, Cebidae.
CCGCCUCCCCCUACCCAAGGAUAUUUAAUUUGCCUCGGGAAUCUCUACUCCAGAGGGGAACUCAGGAGGGAAGGCGCGCGCUCGCGCACGCCUAGAGGGGCAACGCGGGGACCCCCAACCACUGCCUCCCUGCGCUGGACUCCAGUCGGGGCGGUGAGAGAUGCAUCUUCGCUCCUUCCCGGUAGCGGCAGUGGCUGAGAAGAGACUUGGCUCUCAAAGGAUCAGGGCUGCCCUCAUCCCGGACUCACUGCCUCUCUCCCGGGCGUGAAGCGCCGGUAAAACUCCGGUCGGGGUCUCUCUUUGGUGCAGCCGCUGCGUCCUCCUCCAGUUGCCCCUCCCCGGUGCGGUGCGGGAGACUGUGUGGAUUUCGGAGUCUGGGGUUUCUGCUGCCUCCAGCCCUAUUUGCAUGUGUGGGGCUGUGGCGAGGAGCCUUUGCCCCCCACCCGGUUGUUUUUCGGCGCCUCCCUCUGCUCAGCGGCGGUGGUGGCAGCGGCAGCAUGGCAAGCCCUCUGGAGAGCGAGGGCUUCUCGGACGUGCGCAAGGUGGGCUACCUGCGCAAACCCAAGAGCAUGCACAAACGCUUCUUCGUACUGCGCGCGGCCAGCGAGGCUGGGGGCCCGGCGCGCCUCGAGUACUACGAGAACGAGAAGAAGUGGCGGCACAAGUCGAGCGCCCCCAAACGCUCAAUCCCCCUUGAGAGCUGCUUCAACAUCAACAAGCGUGCUGACUCCAAGAACAAGCACCUGGUGGCUCUCUACACCCGGGACGAGCACUUUGCCAUCGCGGCGGACAGCGAGGCCGAACAAGACAGCUGGUACCAGGCUCUCCUGCAGCUGCACAACCGCGCCAAGGGCCACCACGAUGGAGCUGCGGUCCUCGGGGCGGGAGGCGGCGGGAGCAGCUGCAGCGGCAGCUCGGGAGUUGGUGAGGCUGGGGAGGACCUCAGCUACGGGGACGGGCCCCCAGGACCCACAUUCAAAGAAGUCUGGCAGGUGAUCCUGAAGCCCAAGGGCCUGGGUCAGACAAAGAACCUGAUUGGUAUAUACCGCCUCUGCCUGACAAGCAAGACCAUCAGCUUCGUGAAGCUGAACUCGGAGGUAGCGGCUGUGGUGCUGCAGCUGAUGAACAUCAGGCGCUGCGGCCACUCGGAGAACUUCUUCUUCAUCGAGGUGGGUCGUUCUGCCGUGACGGGGCCUGGGGAGUUCUGGAUGCAGGUGGAUGACUCCGUGGUGGCCCAGAACAUGCACGAGACCAUCCUGGAGGCCAUGCGGGCCAUGAGCGAUGAGUUCCGCCCUCGCAGCAAGAGCCAGUCCUCGUCCAACUGCUCCAACCCCAUCAGCGUCCCCCUGCGCCGGCACCAUCUCAACAACCUCCCGCCCAGCCAGGUGGGGCUGACACGCCGAUCACGCACCGAGAGCAUCACGGCCACCUCCCCAGCCAGCAUGGUGGGCGGGAAACCAGGCUCCUUCCGGGUCCGCGCCUCCAGCGACGGUGAAGGCACCAUGUCUCGCCCGGCCUCGGUGGACGGUAGUCCUGUGAGUCCCAGCACCAACAGAACCCACGCCCACCGGCACCGGGGCAGCGCACGGCUGCACCCCCCGCUCAACCACAGCUGCUCCAUCCCCAUGCCAGCUUCCCGCUGCUCGCCUUCGGCCACCAGCCCGGUCAGUCUGUCAUCCAGCAGCACCAGUGGCCAUGGCUCCACCUCAGAUUGUCUCUUCCCACGGCGGUCUAGUGCUUCGGUGUCUGGUUCCCCCAGCGAUGGCGGUUUUGUCUCCUCUGAUGAGUAUGGCUCCAGUCCCUGCGAUUUCCGGAGUUCCUUUCGCAGUGUCACUCCGGAUUCCGUGGGUCACACCCCACCGGCCCGCGGUGAGGAGGAGCUAAGCAACUAUAUCUGCAUGGGCGGCAAGGGGCCCUCAACCCUGACUGCUCCCAACGGUCACUACAUUUUGUCACGGGGUGGCAAUGGCCACCGCUACACCCCAGGAACAGGCUUGGGCACUAGUCCAGCCUUGACUGGGGAUGAAGCAGCCAGUGCUGCCGAUCUGGAUAAUCGAUUCCGAAAGAGAACUCACUCGGCAGGCACAUCCCCUUCCAUUUCCCACCAGAAGACACCGUCUCAGUCCUCAGUGGCUUCCAUUGAGGAGUAUACAGAGAUGAUGCCUGUCUACCCACCAGGAGGUGGCAGUGGAGGCCGACUGCCAGGACACAGGCACUCCGCCUUCAUGCCCACCCAUUCCUACCCUGAGGAGGGUUUGGAAAUGCACCCCUUGGAGCGUCGGGGGGGCCACCAUCGCCCAGAAAGCUCCACCCUCCACAGUGAUGAUGGCUACAUGCCCAUGUCCCCAGGGGUGGCCCCAGUGCCCAGCAGCCGAAAGGGCAGUGGAGACUAUAUGCCCAUGAGCCCCAAGAGCGUAUCUGCCCCACAGCAGAUCAUCAACCCCAUCAGACGCCAUCCCCAGAGAGUGGACCCCAAUGGUUACAUGAUGAUGUCCCCCAGCAGCAGCUACUCCCCUGACAUUGGAGGUGGCCCUGGCAGCAGCAGCAGCAGCAGCAGCAGCAGGGCUGUCCCUUCCGGGAGCAGCUAUGGAAAGCUGUGGACAAACGGGGUAGGGGGCCACCAUGCUCAUGUCUUGCCUCACCCCAAACCCCCAGUGGAGAGCAGCAGUGGCAAGCUCUUGCCUUGCACAGGUGACUACAUGAACAUGUCGCCAGUGGGGGACUCCAACACCAGCAGCCCCUCCGACUGCUACUACGGUCCUGAGGACCCCCAGCACAAGCCAGUCCUCUCCUACUACUCAUUGCCAAGAUCCUUUAAGCACACCCAGCUCCCCGGGGAGUUGGAGGAGGGUGCCCGGCAUCAGCACCUUCGCCUUUCCGCUAGCUCUGGUCGCCUUCUCUAUGCUGCAACAGUGGAAGAUUCUUCCUCCUCCACCAGCAGCGAUAGCCUGGGUGGGGGAUACUGUGGGGCUAGGAUGGAGCCCAGCCUUUCACAUUCCCACCAUCAGGUUCUGCAGCUCCAUCUGCCUCGAAAGGUGGACUCAGCUGCUCAGACCAAUAGCCGCCUGGCCCGGCCCACGAGGCUGUCCCUGGGGGAUCCCAAGGCCAGCACCUUACCUCGGGCUGGAGAGCAACAGCAGCAGCAGCAGCAGCAGCAGCAACAGCAACAGCAGCAGCCCCUGCUGCACCCUCCAGAGCCCAAGAGCCCAGGGGAAUAUGUGAAUAUUGAAUUUGGGAGUGAUCAGCCUGGCUACUUGUCUGGCCCUGUGGCUUCCCACAGCUCACCUUCUGUCAGGUGUCCAUCCCAGCUCCAGCCAGCUCCCAGAGAGGAAGAGACUGGCACUGAGGAGUACAUGAAAAUGGACUUGAGGCCAGGCCGGAGGGCAGCCUGGCAGGAGAGCACUGGGGUUGAGGUGGGCAGAGUGGGCCCCGCACCUCCCGGGGUUGCUAGCAUUUGCAGGCCUACCCGUGCAGUGCCCAGCAGUAGGGGUGACUACAUGACCAUGCAGAUGGGUUGUCCCCAUCAGAGCUACGUGGACACCUCACCAGUUGCCCCUGUGAGCUAUGCUGACAUGCGGACAGGCAUUGCUGCAGAGGAGGUUAGCCUGCCCAGGGCCACCAUGGCUGCUGCCUCCUCAGCCUCGGCAGCCUCUGCUUCCCCCGCUGGGCCUCAAGGGGUAGCAGAGCUGGCUGCCCGCUCAUCCCUGCUGGGGGAACCGCAAGGACCUGGGGGCAUGAGCGCCUUCACCCGGGUGAACCUCAGUCCUAAUCGAAACCAGAGUGCCAAAGUGAUCCGUGCAGACGCACAAGGGUGCCGAAGGAGGCACAGCUCCGAGACCUUCUCCUCAACACCCAGUGCCACCCGGCUGGGCAACACGGUGCCCUUUGGAGCAGGGGCAGCAGGAGGGGGCAGUGGCGGUAGCAGCAGCAGCAAGGAUGUGAAACGCCACAGCUCUGCUUCCUUUGAGAAUGUGUGGCUGAGGCCUGGGGAACUUGGGGGAGCCCCUAAGGAGCCAGCCCAACUGUGUGGGGCUGCUGGGGAUUUGGAGAAUGGUCUUAACUACAUAGACCUGGAUUUGGUCAAGGACUUCAAACAAUGCCCUCAGGAGCGCACCCCUCAACCACAGCCACCCCCACCCCCAUCCCCACCCCCUCAUGAACCCCUGGGCAGCGGUGAGAACAGCUCCACCCCCCGCUCCAGUGAGGAUUUAAGCGCGUAUGCCAGUAUCAGUUUCCAGAAGCAGCCAGAGGACCAUCAGUAGCUCAACUGGACAUCACAGCAGGUGCGUUUCAUGGUGACAAAGAAGACAAAACUGCUUUUAACCUUGUGCUUGAAUUCUGUUCUUCGCCUCUGCCCCUUCCUGUUUUUUCCCAUUGCUUCCUCAGGGAGAAUGCACUUACAUUCUCAGGGCACACAAGAUGCUCACCCCACAAUGACAUCUGGCAGAGAGUCAAAUAAAUAUGUAGAAGCAGCCACAGGAGGGCUUUUUCAUUUGAGAAUUUCCAAGUGAAGUAGUUACUGUGUUUUUAAAACAUAUAUCCUAUGCCAGUCCUGAGGUCGGUAAAGUUCCUUACAUAAGAACCUUGAUCUAUUUGUUGAAGUUUUCUUUUCACUAUAUAUUUAGGUCAGCCCUUGGAAGGGACAGUUUUACAAAAUUAUUUCUUAACACAGGGCCUAAACCCUUCCUUUAAGAUACUUUCUGGGAGUCCUUAAGGGUGAUCUUAUCAAGUUGUUCUCUGUACUUUUGUUCUGUGAUUUCCUAAUACCAAGGCAACGUAAACAGCACCGGGAAACAUUGAUUUCUAUUCAUGCUGCGCUAAAAAGAUUCUGGAGUAAGAGCUUUUUAGCAAUACAUAUUUAGAGAGAAGUACUUAUCUGUUUUAUGAUCUCUCAAGAAAGUAAUUAUGGGAGACAUUGUCCUUUUGUUCCUGUACCAGGAUUUGUGAAAUACUAUUCACAUACCUGGGCUCUCUUACACAGGGUAUGCAGGAAACUCUAGUGUCUGGGACCUAUUAUUAGUUAAGAGUUACGGGAGUUCAUCUCAGUAUGUCUAUCUUACAGUUAUCUCUUCUUGCACUGAGAUAUUACAGGUAUCAUUUGGGGGCUACUAUACAUCUCCAGUAAAAUUACUUUUUUUUUGUUUAGAAGAAGGCACAUUAAGUCAGGAACAUGCCUUCUUAUGUUUCGUUUUGUUUUGCAUUGAACAGAGUGGCUAAACUCUAUACCCUUCACUUUUAGGAUAUUUGUUGUGUGCCUUUAAGUUCAAGAGUAGGCAGCCCAGUAAAUGCUGAAAGUUGGCUUUAGGUCUUCUGAGGCUAAUGCCAUAUUGAAAAUGAAAAACAUUUGUAAUAGGAAAUUAGCCUGCCCUUCGUUCUGUUGAUCCUGUUUUCUGGUGGUCAUAAUUGUGGGUAGAAGAGAGGAGUACAGUUUGCAAAUAAUGUGAUGAGUUGGCAAUGCAGGAGUUUCCAGCAUUUGGAAACACUUUAUUCUGACAAACUGAUUAUCUUGUGAAUUUUGUAUAUGCUUCACAGAAUGAGCUUUUAAAAGCAUUGAUUUUCUUAAAGUGUGUUCAUUCAUAAGAAGUUAAUUUGUGCCCUGGUUUCUUAUUGAUAGGUAUUUGUUUAUCAUAUGUUCAUAGUCUUCUUGAUUCUGUUUCCAAUAUUUGAUCCAUAUCAUUCUCUAUUUUGUAGAACAAGUAAAAGGUAUGUGAUCAUUCAAAUGCAGAUUUUAGGUGAAAUCUGUAUGUUAUGAAAAGCAAUUAUUUGAUCAGUAUUUAUUUCAACAUUUAUUUUCAUCAUUCACUAGAAGAUUUAAUUGUGUAUAUCAACGUCAACGGUACACAUCUUGUUAUAUCAAAUGAUGUUUUUGGGAGUCAAAAUCCCUCAACACUUUAAGCAUUUGUAUUAUAAAGUGCCUCACUGGUAAAAGAAUGAGUAUUUGAAGAAAACAAGCCAAGCAGAACUAAAAUUUUAGUUUUAAAGGAGAUGAAGAGAAUAAGUUUUUGUUAUCUUAAUUUGUUUAGGUUUCUUUUUAUUAGAGUAGCAUAAAUAAUGUUUGCUCUGAAGAAAAUUGAUGACCAACUAGAAUUUCCAUUUUUUAAAAGGGCUUUAAAAUAAAAUUCUCCUUAUGUCUUGGCUGCAUUAAAAAACAAAACAAAAAAACCCUACAACCAUUGAUCCUUAGCCUUCUUUGGGAAAAUAAAAUAUUCUGGAAUAAUCAUGUAAUCCUAUUUCUAAUAAUUUUGGAGUAGCAAUAAACCGUGCUUUGCACCAUGCCAGGAAAAUUCUGCAAUGCAUAUUUGAGAUGUUUGUGUCUGUGUUUAAAGUGAGGCACCAAAUGCUACCUGGCACAUUUAUAUCCCCAAUUCUGCUUGCUUGCCUGUGCCCUGUUGAGUCCAAAGAUGUUAUUCCAUAGUUAUCUGAAACAGACAGAAGUCAGAUCUGUGAGUGACAAACAGCUUUGGCUCCGAAUGAGUAUAUGUGUGAAAAUAUUAUUUUCCUCCCUGCCUCAGCAAUUGGUGUCUUUGCUUCUUUUCCUCAUUUCUUAGGUAAAACCUGAGACACGGUGAAAGGAAUAGAGGUAUGAUGAGGGGUGUGCUCUGUUGAAACAUCUCGGGUUGUUUAAAUUUUUUCAUUGUCUGUUAGAGGAGAACACUUGUGAAGCACUGAGCUCAGGAGCUCCACUUGUUGGAAGCCUUUCUGCUUUACCUAGUCCAGCAACAUUUUCUGUCUGCCCUUUCUCUUGCAUCGCCUCUUAGUUCUGACCUGCUCGUUUUCUCCUACUAUCCCCUGCUAUCUCUUUGUUUCCACCUCUUAUUUCAGGUUCCUGACAUUGUCCUUUUUUUUCUUUCGCUCCUUUUCAGAAUUUUGCAGUACUUGUGGCCCACUCUCUGCAGAGAGUAAAUCGAGAACCCAAGAAGCAGGGCAAAAAGGGCCUCUCACACUGGGUCCGCCACCUUUACCCGGCAUCAAAUUUGUAUUUUAGUUUUGAAAUUGCAGGCGACAAAGACACAGACCCCAGCCAUGCCUUUUGGGUUCAGUUUUUUGUUUUUGUCAUUCUUGGUUAUCCCCUUUUAAAAGAAAAGAAAAACAGAAAAAGCCUCUUUCCAUUUCUUUUUUAUUUUGUUUCCUUUUUGUGAUGUCAAAGAUUCCGUACCUCCAAGGUUGCCUCCUCUCCCUCCCCUUUCCCCUGCCGUGUGGCCUUUUUGGUUGGCGCAAACCCCCUCGGCCCUGGCACUUUCCCUUUUCCGGGUCACCUCCGCUUCCUGCAUUCCUUCUCCUCCCUCCUCCGAGCCCCCUUUCACCCGGGGUUGGGAAUCUGCAGUGAGGACACCCUUGGGUCUCCCGCCCCCACCCCCCUCGAGUCCUCCCGGGCGACCGGCCCCCGUCCCUGGCCGCGUGGUAGGCGUGGGCGGGCGAGGGCCCGUCCUCGGGCACAGCUGCGCAGCUCUGGGCCUCCGGGCGGGCGGGCGGGGCGGCUGGGUGCUGAUUGGCUCUCACCACAGCCAAUCAGCGUGUGAAAUUGCCAGCAGCGGAGGGUGAGGGGCGGGGCUCUCCGCAGAUUCCCCCGGCGUUGGUGGCAGGCGGGCGUCCCUGGGCCGUUUUCUCCCAUCCCACGUCUUGCACCUCUUUCCUGCGGGUGCCUGCAGGCUGAGCCACAGGCCCCCUUCGCACCGCGCCCGCCGACUGAGGACGUUGUGCCCUCAGCAGUAUUCCUGCAUUUGGAGCAGAAUCCUAAGAAUGAAAAAGUCCAACCAGCCCACGGACGGGGGCCGGAAACACACACUUCCUCUUAUUUUUAAUUGAGAAAAAUCCAGGCCAGACCAUGUGACGAGCCCCAUUUUGUUUCCCUCCUCUCUUUACUAUGGUUUACUACGAGGCCACGUUCCUUCAUCUUCCUGUCUCGAGAUCCGCGAGCAGGAGGGAGCCCCGCACGUGGCUUUGGGUCGAGGGGGUUGGCCCCCACCACCGAGGGAGAGAGAGGGACCUGCGAGUGCUGCUGCAGCGGUCGUUUUGGGUCAUUGGGGGAGGGUGAAAUAUUUUGGCUCCAGAGCGCCCUAGGCUCCGUACACUAGUAAAGCGCUUGAGCUAGCAAGAGCUAGGAAGACGCAGCCUCCUGGGCUGUAAGAGAGUUAACAGAGAAAUGAUCUGCUUGCAGAUCCUGAGAACCCCGUGUGACGAGGGUUUGGUUACUGUGUUCCCUAAAGGCUUGGAGGAAAUGCUGUCGCCUUCUUAGACACAGAUUCAUUUUUCCACCAUUGACAGUCUCAGUGACAGCCUGUCGAGUCAGGCUGGGCACAUCGAUUUUGAAAGCCUGCUAGAUUUAUGCACCCUCCAGUAACCAAAAUUAUGUGAGAUAUAUUACUGCAUGGGAUGGAACAUGUGUUCAGAUUUGGCCUUUCUAAAAUAAGGAAAAUAAGGAAGAGAAGUGCUAUGGGAUUAUUUUCUCCCCCGCCUUCCCUCUUAAAUAAGCAUUUCUGACUAGCUAGCAUCCCUCUUGUAUCACUGAAUCAUAAGACCGCAGGGCAGCACUUUUUCUGAGGGGCCAAAUGAAACAUUGCAGGUGGAAACGUACCAAGCAGGUGCAAAUGCUGUGCCCCAAAACUGCUACUGAGCAGUGGGAGAGAGUUUCCCUGUUGUUCCAGAAAAGUUUGAGCAUCUAAUAAUUUGCUUAAUGUUUACAAUUGUUUAGGUAGAUUUUUAUAUUAAAAAAUAAAUCCACAAAAUGUUGCAUAUAUUGUAGUUAUUUCUCUGAGUUCCCCCGCAAUAAAUACUGUCCCAGCAUUGCUGUACAGGAAGGGGCUUGGGAUCCAAAAGGGCAUGCCACUGUUUUUUUUUUUUCUUUUUAGUUUAUCAGAAUUCCAGGAAAAUAGUUUUGUUCUAUCUUAAAUGAUGCAAUGGAAAAAGCAGUUCUUGGGAGCCAGAGAUCUUGGGCUUCAACACAGCCUGUACCCUUCACUAGCUGAGUGACCUUGGGCAAGUCACUUAAUUUCUCUGGACCUACUUCCUCUUCAGUAACUUGAGGAUUUUGUUCUAAAUUAUUCUAACCUCCUUUGCAGCUCUAAACAUAGGAAUGUUGUGGAGAAAAUGACUGAUACUAUUUAAUGGGUCAGUUGCAAUGAGGAUUCUUUCCGAAGAAGCUGUUGACAGGGUCAUCGUAAAGGAUUAGAAUAGCCUGUUCUGUCCAGUUCUAGCCUUUGGUUCAGACAUUGUUUAUGGCCAGACUAGGGGCCUGGAAGAAAAAUAUUGUUUGAUUCAGGCUGAUUUUAACCUUUCUUGCUUUGAGGGGACAUUUUCAAGUUUUAACAGACCUUAAAACAAACCCUCCUGAAUGCACCAGUCUAAGUUUUUGGAACUAUCUCUAGACUGGAUUAAGCUGUUCUUCCUUCCACCUUUUUAAAAAUAAAAUGUGUGUGGGAAUGCAAGGCACCUGCUAGUUCCUGCAUCCUAAGGUCAACUGUCAGAAACAUCUCACCCCUCCCCACAGUAUAGAUUAAGCUUUAACCAGUGCACACUGUGGAAAUCAACACAUGCAUCCUGUUGGAAAUCACUUUUUCAGAGGUGGUGUGUUUGUGGAUAAUGUUUCUCAUUUGUAGCAUAAGUGUUCUUCAGUGAGAUAGCUAUUUAAGUGAAUGGAAAGGAAAUGUGAGAAGCCAAUUGCGGACUAUAGGAGGUCUUCCACAAUUUUUUGUUGAGUUUUAUUUUUCUCUCUUAGUUGUAUGAAAGAACUCAAUAUUUCUCUUGCUGGUAAAAUUAGUGUUGUCCACUUUAGGGUUUUUGAUUAGUUAGUUGAGCCGACACUGCUUGACCAACCCUGUGUUAUCUUGGCUGUUGAGUUGUCAAUAUAUUCAGAAGCUCUGGCCUUUUUUCUCCCUCCAUGUGGAUUUCACAAAUCAUUAAAAUAGUCUGUUGCCUCUUCAAAAACUCCAUGGACUUAUUCUUUAUCAAUCCUCUCACUAUAAUCAGAUAUGUGUCUUAGCUGAAUAGUAUAUAAAUGGUUCCUUUUAUUUUGAUGGGCUGGUACUGUAGUAUAUUGGAACAUUACGCAGUUUUAAGAUUUUGUUUGGUUUUAAAGCCAUUUCCUCAACUAUUUCCUCAUGUUACAAAAUUACUGGAAGAUGUAUUCAAGGAAAAUAGCUUCUUGUGAAUCAUGCUUAAGUCAGUUUCACACUAAAGAUUCUGUAACUUUUUUUUCAUACUAGUAUUUUUUUUUUUGCAUGUAAAAGAAUAGAUCCUGGCUCUACCACAUUUAUAAUUAUAUAACUGUUUUAUUAUUUUGUUACCUUAUUAGUCCAUAGCUACACAGCAGAUUUUAAAAGCUCUUUUUAAAAUGAAGCAUGUUUAGAAAGUGUAAUCAUAUUAAAUUUUAACUUAAAAUUACAUUUUAAUAUUAGUAUGGUAUAAUAAUUGUAUACUAAUUUCAGAACAGCAUGACAUAGUUACUAAAAUUUAUUGGAAAGCUUUUUAAGAGGAUAGGUUAGUAAGUAUCAUCUCUUUGCUUCUAUUUUGGUCUUACACUUUGGAAAUGCUAGUACCGCUCCCAUUCUUAAUUCACAGAAAAAUGGAGAAGAUGGAUUAGAUAAGUAUAAGGUACUGUCAUGUAUGGUAAAAGGAACACUUGCUGUUUUGAUAGUAUUCUUGCAGGAGGCUCUGCUAUAAUCUAUUUAUUAAAGUAAAUUUGAUUGGAUAAAUGUUAUUUGUGUUUAUUCAGUGAGUCUUUGAAUAAUAGAGCUUUAAAAAAAUUAUGUGUUUAUGUUGAAAAGGCUUUUUGACCUCUUUUCUGUAUUUUCCAUUCAUAAUGGCAAUAGAGUUGAAUACAUGGGUCAGACUACGAUUCUAGUUGUAGUUAUCUUAAAGUAGAGUAGAGAUUUUGUGGUUUUAUUACUAUACCUGGAACGUUUUAUUGAAUAAACUGAGUUGGAUUGCACUCAUUGUAUUCCUUUGACCAUCCCAUGUUUUUUAAAUAUUGCAUAUUACAUAUGUAUCCCUGCACUCCGCUUUUAUUGUUGACCAAAGAAUACUUUGAUGCAGAUUCUCUGAUCCUCCCUGACAUAUUUAGGUCAUGUUGCUGAACAGUAUCACUUAAUCUUGAGAUGUUUUCUUAACGCUUAUUGAAAUGAUCAAAGAGACUUUUUUUUUUUCACAUAUAUUUAAUGUGGCAAAUUGUGUUCUGCACAGAAAGUCAUGGCUUUGACUUUUAGGAAGGAUAUGAUCUAAGUGAGCUGGCAGAGUAUUAAAAGGCAUUUAUAAACAUUUAGCAGUUAGUUCAAGGCCACUGGAAUAAUCAGUAAUUGCUAUGCAGUCAACUGUCGUUUAUCUGAUCUUCUCCAAUCAUCAUGUUCAUGUUCAUUUAAAAACGAUUGGGAAGGGUCUAUGGAUAUGAAAAAAUAAUUAUAUUUACCCUAGAGUUUUAGGGGUGGUGGGGACGUCAGAAGAUCAGAAGAUCUUUAAGUGUCGUUAAUACUAUUCAAGGCCACCUAUUUCUCAACCCUAACAUAAAUUAUCUGCUUUUGGUCAAAAAGGCCCUAAGACAAUUUUUCUUGUUCUUCCUCUCUCCUUCCGUUUACUCAGUCAGCACUACUGAGCACCGAUCAUGUUCCAAAUAGCAUACCUUUUAUCGAAAGGGGAUGAAGGUGGAUUCAUGGAAACGGAGGGGAAAAAAUGGUGCUGAGAGGAGAUCACCAAAUUAGUUCCCAGAUUUCUUAUGGCAUAAAUUAUCUGGUAAAAGCAAAUCAAGAUUCAGAUUGUGGAGUUCACGAAAGUUGGCAUUUUUCAUAAACCUAAAGGGCAAAAGUGCCUGUCUACCUUAAAGGUUUGUGUUUUUCUGAAUCUUUCUAACCAUGGCUACCUGUCUGACAAUACCACCAGUAUAUUAAAUAAUCAGGAAAGUUGUUGAAACUCUCAUUUGGAAGAACAGUCCGUUUUGGAUAUUAAGUUUGCAAAUAUAAUAUUGGCAAGAAGCAGGAAAAAGCUAUCUUUGCUUUGGAUCUUUAGUCCCAGUGAAAGCAGCCAGAAGAAGAGGCAUCCAGCUGUUAAAUGAAGAGGGACUGAAUGUGGACUUGUUAUGAGCUGAUCAGUGUUAGGAAAUAGGGGGUGAAAGUGGGGGCUACAAAAGAAAUUUAAAGUCUUUUCUAGGUCUCUUAGCAUUGUUAUUCAAGGACUUCUUUUUUUCCUUUGGGUGGGUGGUUUUAUUUUUAAUAAAGGCUCUAGCACUUUGAACGGUGGUAUUUAGCUUGCUUCUGUCUGGAACUAUAAUCACUUGAGAUUUCUCUCCUUCUGUUUUGAUGAUAUGUGGUCAUAUUUAUUUUUAAGUUCGUGGUAGUGUCUUACACAAACAUUAAAAGAAACAUUUUUUUUUAGACUUCCAAGUUUUAUAAUAGUUUGCUGGGUCUCUUCAUGCUAUUUUUUUCUCUGUGCUUUUGGUGUAGGUGAUACGUGUACAUGCUAUGUUUCAAGUGUUUUUGUCUGUUUGUUUUGUUUUUUUUUUUUUGUUUUUUGAAAACAGGUGGAGAGUAAAAAAUAAUGCUCCCUCCCACCUUUGUUCCCAAUUUCUUAUAGGCCACCAUCACUGCUGGGUUUUAUCUUUCCAGAGAUAAACUGCUUAUAAAUUUUGAAGCUUUGUAAUAGAAAGUUGGUUAAAUACCCAACUGCUCAAAGUCUUCUAUGGAAGAAUAUGCUUUCAGCACUUAAAGAGGCACAGCAGACUUACUGGAUUUGUUGUUGUUGUUGGUGGUGGUGGUGUUAUUGUUAAAAGAGAAAAAAAGGACACUUUACUUUCUGUGUCUUUUUUCAAUCCCCAGAUUCAAAAAGUUGCUAGUGAUUAAUCUACUAUAACAGUGAAGGGGAAAAGCAUAGGUUAAAAAAUGAUCUGGUUUUCAAGUUGGAAACAUUUGUUCAAAUUAAGAAAAGUGUCUUCUAAAUUUUUAUUUCUUAUAUAUUUAUUUAUUUUUGUUUGCUUUUUGAGGCAGAGUCUUACUCUGUCACCUAGGCUGGAGUGCAGUGCCAUUCUCCAGCUUCAGCCUCCUGAGUAGCUGGGAUUAUAGGUGUGCAUCACUGCGCCUGGCUAAAUUUUGUAUUUUUAGUAGAGAUGUGGUUUCACCUUGUUGGCCAGGCUGGUCUUGAACUCCUGACUUCAAAUGAUCUUCCUGCCUUGGCCACCCAAAGUGCCAGGAUUACAGGUAUGAGACACAACACCUGGCCAGAAAAGUGUGUAAGUUUUUAAACACCACCAAUUCCAAUCUUUAUUACUCUAUUUUCUUUUCCUGGUACUCAGGCAUUUGCUCUCCCAACACUGAGUGAAUAGCUUAGUUCUUAAUAUAGUGUAAUGGGAUUAAGUAUGAAGGUUAAGGAUCUUUUUGAAGAAUUUCUGGAUACCAAUGUCUCAUAUUUUCCAGUGCUCAAAAGAAUUAAUGCUUUUUAUUGGAAUAGUCUUUCAACAUUUCAAAAUUCUAGGAACAACUUAUUUUAUACACAAGACUACAUACAACUAAGUAAUUUAUUUACACUAGUGAUUUCUUCUCACUUAUUUUCUCUAAAGUUAUUAACACUUGCGAGGAAUAGAAUUUAGAGAAUCUGCCUUGUAUCCUAAGGAAGAUGUGUAUUGCUGAGAUGACUGUUUUGAAGGAAAGAGGAGCUUCUCUUGGUCAAAAACAUUUAUGACUGAUACCCUGCUAUUCUUGAUGAUUGUGGUCUAGGAAGAGAAUGAAUAGAAUUAGGUAGCUCUGUUACAAAACAGAAGCUUUUAAGAAUGUGGUAACAGGUAACGUUUGAAUUAGAAUUGUCAGUGUUUGUGUGUGUGUGUGACUUACCAGUAAGAGUAUGCUAAUAGCAAUAGUAUUAGUUUUCAUCCAGAUUAAAGUAAUGAUGAAUGAAAUUCAUCAAUAUGAAGGAAAAUUUUUAAAAGCUGUUAAAGAGUUUUAUAUAUGAAGCUAUCUAGUUUCUCAGGUAUAAAUAACAUUUAGCUUUUGAUAUGUAACAAACCGCAAUCAAACGAAGUGCUUUAAAACAUCAGUCAUUUACAAGGUCACAAUUCUGUGUGUUGGUGAUUUAGGCUGAGUUCAGCUGGGCAGUUCUUCUGCUUGUCUCAUAAGGGUAAAUGCAUAUGGUUCAGUCAGUUGUAGGGUUGACUGGGGCCUGGUUGUUUAGGAUGCUCUUCCUUGCAUAUCUAGUGGAUGAUGCUUGCUGUCAGUUGCUGCUUGCUAUUGACUGGUAUAUGUAUCUCCAGCAAGCUGAUCCAGUCCUCAUGUGGUAUUAAACAGAUUCCCAGCAGCAAGAACAGGGAAGCAAUGAAUACAUAAGUCCUUUUCAAGCCUCUGUUUACAUCAGAUUUGCUACUUUCCCAUUGCCUAAAGCAAGUGACAUAGCCACAUGGAGUAUCAAAGGGUAAAACAGAGAUGCUGUUAGAUAAGCCAGAUUGUCUGACUUACUACGAUACCAUGGUAUACUAAACGCAGUCAUUUGUUGUCAUUAGUAAAUGUUUAGAUGUUUAUCAUGAAGAUUUCUACCUUUGGGUGAAAUGUCAGUGAUUUCCUUCAUAUUAGGAUAGUACAAUUUUUCCAUCAUAUUUUUUUUUUGGAAAAACAUGAACACUUAUAUUCCCUUAAAUAAAUAUUCGUUGAGUUUAUUCUGUGAGCCUAGCAGUGGAGACUGAAAUACGUGUUUCCCUGACUUUGUGUCACUUUACAGGGGCCAAAGAAUAAACAAGUAAAUAAAGAAAUACACUACUGCAAAAUGUGGCAUGAGGAAUAGGAAGGGCAAAGUGUUAUGAAGUGAAAUAACAGGACCUACUGUAAAUGUAGGGGCAGGAAAUGAUUUCAGAAAAUACAUAAUGUACUUCUAUUAUUCAGGAGAAACAAACAUUUUUAUAUUACAUACUCUGUGGGCCAGGUACAGAUUCAGGUCUUGACGGCAUCUUUUUAAGAGUGAGAUCUCCUUAAGAAUACCUCUUAUUAGAUGAAUGAAGGCUGAAAGCUCACCUCUGAGUAAAACAUUCAAAAAUGACUACUGAGUUUUCUAGUAGUAGACACAGUUGUCUCUACUUUUAGUGCCAUUGGUGGAUAGUGAAAAUACAUUAUUUGUAUUACAUGCCUACUAUGAGCUAGGUUAGAGGAUUAGACUGUGUUUGGUUUUGUUUUUUGUUUUGAGAUGGAGUCUCACUGUGUUGCCCAGGCUGGAGGGCAGCAGUAAGAUCUUGGCUAGCUGCAGCCUCCACCUUCUGGGUUCCAGCGAUACUCCUACCUCAGCAGCAUGCCCAGCUAAUUUUUGUAUUUUUAGUAGAGAUGGGUUUCGCCAUGUUGGCCAGACUGGUCACAAACUCCUGACCUCAAGUGAUCUGCCCACCUUGGCCUCUAAAAAUCUGGGGUUACAGGCGUGAGCCACUGCACCCAACCAAGGGUUAUACUUUGUAACAGUCCUCAGGUGGCUCACACAGGACCUGAAAGCGAAUAUGGUAAUGGAAGGGAACCCAGAGCUAGGGGAUAUAGUUCCACUGUCCCUUCAUCAAUGACUGACUCCUUAUUCCCACUUACACAACAAGCUGGGCCAUAUGAGAAGUGGUACAGGGCGCUGGACAUUUUGUGGGGCAAGGUGGAGAGCAAGGGCUGAGAUGGAGUCAGAGACUUUGAAAUGGUUUGAAAGGGCUUUUGCUGCCUGAGCAGAAAUCUAGAUUUGGGGAACAGAGUUGCUGAUGAUUGGAAAGCAAAUACAGAUGAUUUGCCACAUCCCACUCAAAGCAAAGGCAGUUCUUUAGUUAACUCCACACAGCUCUCCCAUCAGCUACUAUUUACGUUUUUCUUUUACCAGAAUCUCAAAUACCUUACAUAUUCCUGAGGUUAUAGAAAGACACAAAACAAGACACUGUAUAAAAUAUAUUGUGGAGGGGAGCCCAGAGGGAGAGGCUGAAAGUUGAAUGUGGUGGUAUUUAUAUUGUGAUCUUGGCAGUUCAGGCCACCCCCCUAACCCUCUCCUUGCUAGCUCCCUCUGCCCCCCUUCCCAAUUCCAGCUAAACAAUAACUUCCUUUCAAAGCAGAUCUCAUUCCUUCUGGUUAGGUUAAGGGAUAUUAAUAUUACAUUUUUAAAAGAAUGGGUAAUGAAUUAAUUUCUAAAAAUAUUUUAUUUCCAUUUGUAGGGUACCCUGGAAGCUACCAAGAGUAUAAUUAAAACUUUCCAUUUUGCCCAAAUGUGUGUGUGUGUGUGUGUGUGUGUGUGUGUGUUUAGGGGUGGGGAGGAGGGUUAGGGAGUGGAAACUGCAGUCCAAUAAAAAAAGGUUACAUUCCUAAAACUUGGUCUUUAGAAAUAUUUUGCAGCCUGAGCCUUUAGUCCUUCACAAGUCCCUACAAAGACCGACCUUCAGAAACUGUGUAGGCUUGUUGUUUCUUGGGCCUUUGAACUGGGUGAAGAAUGUGUCUCAAGAUGGAAAAAUGAAUGACUGGUGCUUUAGCCUCCAGCUCCAAGCUUGCUGGAGAAAAGUUAUUGUAUCUUCAAAGCCUGCUUCCCACCAUGCUGUAUUAGUUAGAUGGACCUAUGGAAAGUGUCUUUGCAUUAUCAAGUACACAACAAAAACCCAUACCACCCAAUUCGGUCUAAUUCACUGGCUCCUUUUAGGUGGAUUUUUAAUUAAUGUGUCUCCUCUCUAAGAAUAGAGCCCCAUUCCACCGCUCCCUCCCAACCCCAACUCAUAGGAUUUACUGUUACUCACCAGUUUAGGAACCUUCAGCCUUUUCUUUUCUUUUCCUUUUUUUGUGGCAUGGGAAAUAUUAUUUUUAAAAAUAAUGGCAGAAGUUAUUUAGAAACAAUUCUCCUAUCUAAGAAGAGGUCUGAAUGAAUUUCCAGAAAAAGUAAAUAAAAUUGCAUUGCAAUGUAAAAGUAAUGCAUUUAAAUGCACUGACCAAAGAAAAUGCCCAAAUCUUUUAUUAGUUGGGUCCAAGUGUACCUACCACCCUGCCUCUCUUUUUAGUUCAUAAAAUUUACCCCUUCAUGAAGGAUGAUGGAAGUGGUAACACCACCUGUCCUUGCUCCAGUUACUGGUUUUAUGGCACUCCUUCCUACUAAAAAUUGUGAGCUGCUUCAGAGUAGUCUCAGUCUUCAUUUCAUGACUCCAUUAUCCAAGUUGGUGCUCACAAAAUACUUUCCACAUUGAAAACGUAUUUAUCAACAGUUCAGGGAAGAGUCUUGAAAUCAAGGGAGAGGAUGACUUUAUAAAAGUUUCAAACAAGAACAAUAAUGUGGAUUUUUUUUGAGUACCUCAAGCCGUUUCAUUUGCCAAAUAUUUUAAAAAUUCAGAUUUAACAAUAUCAGCUACAUUAAAAAUAGUCAAUCAAAAUUACAAGAGUUUUUGUAAUCUGGUAUGACUGAAUAUGAAAAUGUGGGUGAAAUAAAUUGCAACUCCUAUGUAUCUUAAGUCUUGGACACUUCCUCCGUUCCCUCAAACCAUUCUUUUGAAGAUUGACAGAAACUUUGCUUUGUUUUGACAAGAUUUAUUUCUGUGCUUCCAACAGUAGCUCAUCAGCUUAUUCUUCUAGUUCUUCUGAUGUUAAUUGCAGCUUACUGAUCUAGGUCACAGCAUAGCAUUUUCACUGAGGUUUCAGAUAUCAAAAGCAAUGAGAAAAUCAUUUGAAAAGUAAACAUUAUAUCAUAGCUUCCUCUCUUUUUAUUUACUUACUGAGACAGAGUCUUGCACUUUCAUCUGGGCUGGAGUACAGUGGUGCAAUCUCGGCUCACCACAACCUCCGCUUCCUGGGUUCAAGCGAUUCUCCUGCCUCAGCCUCGCAAGUACCUGGGAUUAUAGGUGUGUACCACCACGCCCGGCUAAUUUUUUGUAUUUUUAAUAGAGAUGGUGUUUCAUCAUGUUGGCCAGCUGGUCUCUAACUCCUGACCUCAUGAUUCACCUGCCUCAACCUCCCAAAGUGCUGGGAUUACAGGCAUGAGCCACUGUGCUCAGCCACUACUUCUGUUUUUAAAGAGGCCAGUUACAAAAUUUGUGAUGUAUAGACCUCCCUUGUCAUGUCUCCCAUUGCUCCUCCUUUUUCUUCCUCUUGGGAAUAUUGUUGCUAAUUAGCCCCUCUACUAAAAUAUGGGUAAAGUCUGGGAAAAGGAAUUAAAUUUAGAUGAGUCAAUUUUGCCAGUUUAGCUCUUGGUAGCUACUCUGCUAAAAUAUUCCCUUGGUCUGGAAAAUUGAACUUAAUUGCUCAGAUUUGAGACUUUUCCCCUGCAGUCCCUGACGUUUGUUUCCACACAGGCUGGACUGGUGUGAUGGCCAAAGUAACGGUAUGUGUAUUCUAAACUGGUGUGUCAGCCAUUGUAGCAAUUGUUUUCAAACAUUGUUGGACAUUUGAAGUAUUGAGCUGAAACUUAGGAUCCAGACACUUUUAUAAUACUUAUGGCAGAGCAUUUGUCACAUUUGGGUAUGAAACCCACAACUCCACAAGAUUUGUAGAAAUAAGUUCUAUUUUAUUUUAAAUAAGACUUCAGUUUUAUUGGCUCUUCACAGCUGUUUCACAUUUAUGCUGCUUUCUAAAGCUUGAAGAUGUGUGUCCUCAUAGGUAUGUGCCUAGUAUCGAGCUAGGCCAUUUCUCUUUCCACUAGCGUGGCUGAGUAGGUUUGAAUGCUCAGUGGAAUGAGUCUGGCAUUUGGUAGAUACUAUUUGUUAUAUCUAAAUAAUGAAUGAAUGUUGGACCAUAGGGUUUUAAAGCACAGUAUGGAAAAUAUAUCAGCGCCUCAUUUAUUUGUAGACCAGAAUUAUAUUCUAUUCAGGAAAUAGAGUUUCUGUUAACUACAUUACUACUCCUGACACUUGGUAGGUAUUGAAUAUUUUCUUAGAUUUUUCCAUUCAUUGCAGAAUUAAGCUGUUAUAAUUGCCGAACCUGAAAUUUAAAAGAGAUUGUAACUGGUCAUGAAGAUCCUGGUGGGAAAUUGCUGAAGACUCGAAUGUUUGUAGACCUGACAUGAGAGAGCAUGCUGGUUAAGUAGUGCAAUAAGGAGCUAGUGAAUUUCUACUCAGUCCCAGGCAUAUUCUUAAGUUCUUGAAUUACAACUGUGAAGAAAACAGACAAAAAUUCAGGCUUUCAUAGAACUUCCUUUCUUGAGAGCCAUGUAAGUAAGAAAGCUGUAGAGGACCAGCUUCUCUAGGGCACAUUUUUGUGAUGUAAUAAGGCAAAAUAUAAAAGAGAAGGAAGUAAGGAUUUAAGUUGACGUAUAUGUGCUUAAGAGAGAUUGUCUUACAUGAAAGUCAAGAUCUGGACCAGGCGACAUAUUGAGAGAGGAUGUUAGGAGUAUGUGGUAUAUCUGCGAGGCCCUAGAGAAGACUGGGCUGGCAACAAGUAUGGCCACCUACUUGUACUGGGCCAUGGGUGUUGGAGGAAGCAGGGGUGUCAUGAACCAUAGCUUAUGUUGCAACAUUGGAUGGUAGUAAUUUUCACUGGAUAUUUUUAAGCGUUUUUUUCUAAAGACUAUUAUGCAAAACUGGUAAUGUAUAUACUCUAAUCUCUCUUUUCCAAAAUUAUAUUUGAUAAUUCUGUUAGAAAAGUAUUUGAUGUUUGGGAGGAAAGAGUAUCUUGAAAUGCUCUUAUAUGAAAAGCUUUUACUUUGGUAUUGCUGUGUAUUUUACAAGCAAGGCUCUUCAGGCAUAUUCUUGUUAAAUCCAUACAUCACAAGAGGAAAUCCCACAAUUUUAAGGUUGCUUUUUCUAGUGGAUAACAGCUUUUAUGGUGAGGAAAUUUCUUUAUUACUAACUUAAAUCCUUCACUUACAUGUGAGAGAAUUUCCUUCAUUCUGAUUUUAGUAGUCAUGACAAGCGGCCUUUUUUAAAAAAUUGAGGCUAUAAAUUAUAUUUUUAUCAGAAGAUUUAAAUUAUAUUAUAGAAAUAUACUGUAAAGUACUAUUAAGUUCUAAAAACAAACUUAAAAUUCAAUGAACAUAUUUAAAUGUGCAGAAGAUUAAAUGGAAAAUUAUAACCUUGGUACGCAAGUCAUCAGUUUGCUAAAAGAGGAAAUAAGACAGGAAAUGAAUUUUCUAAGAAAUUCUUAGAAAAAAUAUUUAUAAAUAGAAAAUAUUUUAUAAUAGAUCAGACAAUACUAAUUAAAGUGACUAUGACUUUUCUGGGUUUCAAAUAUAACAUAUAUGUAUUUGCUGAAAUUUAAUAAUAGGGUCAGUAUGUUUGUCCAUUUUCAUGCUGCUGAUAAAGACAUACCUGAGACUGGGCAAUUUACAUAAUAAAGAAGUUUAAUGGACUUACAGCUGCACAUUGGGGUGGGGAGGGAGCGGAGAGGGGGCGGGAAGCAUCACAUCAUGGCAAAGAGGAGCAAGUCAUCUCUUGUGUGGAUGGCAGCAGGCAAAAAGAGAGCACAGAGAAACUCCCAUUUUUAUAACAUAAGAUCUCAUGAGACUCAUUCACUAUCAUGAGAAUAGCACAGGAAAGACUCACUCCAUGAUUCAGUCACUUCCUACUGGGUCCCUCCUACAACACAUGGGAAUUGUGGGAGCUACAAGAUAAGAUUUGGAUGGGGGCACAGAGCCAAACCGUAUCAGUUGGUUUCCUCUGAAAGAAAUUUUGCAUCAACCAACUGUUCUAUGGAAAACAAUAAUUCAUCAAAUACAGGUUACAAUUUGGGGUUCUGUAAGUGGUCAGGAAAUUUAAAUAGGUUUGAAAAUCCCAUAGAAAACAAAAUACCUGAAUAUUUAUAUAGUCACCUAAACUUGUUUUAUCAUUCAUUUUUAACUCAAUAGCAUUUUUAAAAUAAGCUUUUUAUUUCAAGACAGUUACAGAUUUACAGUAUUAUUGCAAAGACAGUACAGAGAUUUAGAUGUGUACCCCACAUCUAGUUUCUACCUUUAACAUCUUGCUUUAGUAUGAUAUAUUUGUCACAACGAGCUAAUGUGGCAUGUUAUUAUUAACUAAAAUCAGUACUUUAUUCAGAGUUCCUCAGUUUUUCCCUAAUGUUCUUAUUUUUCUUUUCUAGGGUCUCAUCCAGGAAACCAUAUGGCAUUUAGUCAUUACAUUAUGUGUCUCCUUAGGCACUUCUUGGUGGUGUCAGUUUCCCAGACUUUUCUUGUUUUUUCUGAUCAUGACAGUUUUGAGGAGUAGAACGUCCCUCAGUUGAGAUUUGUCUGAUGUUCUUCUCAUGGUUAGACUGGGUAUGUGUCUCGGGGAUGAAGACCACAAAGAUGAAGUGCCCUCUCAUCACCUAUCAAGUGUACCUGUUAACAAGAUUUCUCAAGGUCGAUGCUGACCUUGAUAACUUUGCUGAGCGAGGGUUUGUCAGGUUUUUCUACUGUAAGUUUACCCUUGUCCCCCUUCUCAUAUUGUGCUCUUUGGCAGAGUGAUGAUACAUAAUCCACAAUUAAGGUGUGAACAUUUGUCUACACACACACACACACACACGCACAUGCACACAUGAUUCUUCUGCACAGAUUUGUUUCUUAUUUAUUUAGUCAGUUCUAUUUAUGUUAGUAUGGACUCAUGGCUGUUUAUUUUAUACUACAGGUUAUAAUACAAUAACAUUUUAUUUUGUUGCUCAAAUUGUUCCAGCUUUAACGCUUCUAGUUGGCACCUGUGUCCCUUUGACAUACUCCCAUCAUUGCAGGUUCUUGCUUUUUUUUUUUUUUUUUUUUUUUUUUUUUGUGUGUGUGUGUGUGUGUGUGUGUGUAUAUCGCAUUCCCUUACUUUUUGACACUCCAAGAUACUACAGGAUCACCCUGUUUAUUUCCUGCCCCAGUUCUAAAAUCAUCCAUUUCUCUAAGGAGCUGCUUCCUUUUAUUGGAAAAUUCACAGUUUGCCCUCUGUAACCUUGGGUUCUGCGUUCAUGGAUUUGGCCAAACACGAAUUGAAACUAUUCAAAAGAAAAAAAGGAUAGUUGCAUCUUCACUAAACAUGUACAGACUUUUUUCCCUUGUCCUUAUUCCCUAAACAGUAUAGUAUAACACUUAUACAUAGCAUCUACAUUAUAUUCUGUAUCACAAGUAAUCCCUAGGUGAUUUAAGGUAUACCAGAAGUUGUGCAUAGGUUAUAUGCAAGCAUUACACCAUUUUAUACGAGGGACUUGAGCAUCCAUGGAUUUUUGGUAGGCACAGGAGUUCUGAAAACAAUCCCCCACAGAUAACUAAGGGACAAUUAUAUUAGAAAUUAAGUACCAUCUGGGAACUGGCAUUGUUUGUUGCUACUGAGAUGUCAUUUCUUUUUUGCCUUCUCAGCUGACAGAGCAAGGAAAUGUAAGUGUAUACUAACCCAUAUAUAUAUAUAUAUAUAUAUAUAUCUAUAAAUAUUUCUAUAUGUAACCAUCUGUAUCUGUACUAAGCUAAACUUGAGUUCACAUUGCUGUCUCUAAUUCCCAUCCAUUUCCACAUGGACCAUUCUCGCCUCCUUGCUUGUCUGUCACCUCCCACUCCAACAGUGUGAAAUCUGGCUACUACUAUGCUUGAUCCAUUUGUUUGUUCCAUUUUACUACAUAUGUAUACAUAGCAGUAUCAGGAUUGUUAACUCUAGCCCCAUGGGAAACAACUUUAUUAACUAGAGUUCAAUGCUUCUGUAGAGUUUCUUUUGCAUUUAGUCUUAUAGGUUCCCUUCAUUUCCAGAGUUAAAUAGAUCAGCACCUUAUUCUCCUUCCUCUUUUACUGAAGCCCUUUCAUGCAUUUGUAACACAUUUAGACUCUUUUAUCACAUUCUGCAUUCCAUCCUGGGAUCAGUAGCUUUCUAGGUGUAUUUUUUAUUUGCAUACAUUAAAGCUUACUGUUUGUGAUAUAAAUUCUGUGGGUUUUGACAAAUGCCUAAUUACUUGUAUUCACCAUUAUAGUAUCAUGCAGCAUAGUAUCAAGGCCCUAAAAUGCUCUAUGCUUCACUUAUUCAACACUUCCUCUCUCUCCCCAACCCCUGGUAAUCUCUGUUCUGUUUAUUGUCUCUAUACUUUUGCCUUUUCCAGAAUGUCAUCAAAUUGGAAUCAUUAUAGUAUGUAUUUUUAUCAGGCUGGCUUCAUUUACUUAGCAAUAUGCAGUUAAGAUUCAUCCACAUCUUCUGUGGCUUGAUAGCUCAUUUCUUUUUAUUGCUGGUUAAUACUCUGGUAGGGAUGAAACAGCUUAUUUACCUAGGCCACCAACCUUUUAUGGAAUGUUUCCCUGCAUGUGUUUGAAGACAUUUAUGAAGUCAGGUCUCAGUUUUCCUUUAAUACUAAUCAUUUUUAGGCUUUACUCAUCAUUCUUAAUUUUAAAAUCUUCAAUUAAUUUUACAUAUCUUUCCAAAACCUUGAGUUUUUUGUAUCAUUUUCCUCCCCCAAACCUUCAACAUUCUAUAGUACAUUUCAGGCCAGCCCUGGACUGGGCAUAGUUAGACAUUUGCUUCCUGAUUUCCCCAUGUUCUCCCCAUUUUAAUUUACUCCAUGUUAGUGUUUUACUCUUUCAAUGACAGUGGAACUUUAUAGAUUUAUGUACCACCUUGGAGUCUUUUUAAGCACUCUUCUCUGAAGGACAGUAAUUUGCAUUUUUAAAAAGAGAUUUAUUUGAACUCAUCUACCAGUAGUCUUUUUUUUUUUUGUGACAGAGUCUCACUCUAUCACCAGGCUGGAGUGCAGUGGUGCAAUCCCAGCUCACUGCAACUUCCGUUUUCUGGUUUCAAGCAAUUCUCCUGCCUCAGCCUCCUGAGUCGGUGGGACUACAGGCACGCACCACCAUGCUUGGCUAAUUUUUUGUACUUUUUAGUAGAGACGGGGUUACACCAUGUUGGCAAGAAUGGUCUCGAUCUCUUGACCUUGUGAUCCACCCGCCUUGGCCUCCCAAAGUGCUGGGAUUACAGGCGUGAGCCACUGCGCCCAGCCCCAGUAGUCUUUUUAAAAAAGUAUUUUGAGUAUUUUGUGAUUUUGAUUCGGUAUAGACAUUUAUAACGUUUUUAUUCUUUCUUACCAUGAUGGACUCUCAAGUCUCAGGGAAAUAAGUUAAUGAGGUUCACUGAAGGUUGGUUGUUGUCCUUUCUGGACAUCCAGUGGGAAUCUGAAACUGCCUGGACUUCCUGGUUUGAGCUUCCCUGUCUGGAUUUGUAAUGUAGGAAUAGGGCUUUCUCUGUUGAACUGCAGGGAAUUAUCUCUGGGAUCAUAAGAGGGGGCCCUGCUGCCAUGCCUCACUGCCUAUCACCUUUAUGUGAAAAAAAGCAGCUACUGGCCAGGCAUGAUGGUUCAUGCCUGUAAUCCCAGCAAUUUGGGAGUCUGAGGUGGGUGGAUCACCUGAGGUCAGGAGUUCAAGACCAACUUGGCCAACGUGGUGAAAACCUGUCUCUACUAAAAAUACAAAAAUUACCUGGGAUGGUGGUGGGCGCCUGUGAUCCCAGCUACUUGGGAGACGGAGGGAGGAGAAUUGCUUGACCCAGGAAGCGGAGUUUACAGUGAGCCAAGAUCGCUGCCAUUGCACUCCAGCCUGGCUGCCAAGAGCUGAAAAGAGCAAAACUCCAUCUAAAAAAAAAGUAGCUACUAUCCAAUUAGCUAAAAGGGCUUGAAGAUCAUAUUUAUAUCGUAUUUCAACACUCAACAAAUAUUUUUGAAUCAUUAUUACAUAAGCAUGCAAUGAAUCUUAAGACUACUCUCCUGGAGUGGCUACAGCUAACCAAAGCCAAACCCCUUCCUUCUCUACCCUCCUGGGGAAAAUGUGAUGGGGAGGGCUGCUGGGUAAAGGGAAAGAGGGUGGUGUAGGAAGGAGGUCACAAAAGCACACAUAUUUGUUUAAGGACCAAGAUGCAAAAGAAAAGAAUAAAAUCCCAGGUUAGGCUCCACAGUCUCAUUCUUUUUUAUUUUUAUUUUUAACUUGCAAGCUAACAAGUUAUAGAAUCCCAUUCUACACAAUCUUUUUUUUUUCUUUUAAAAACACAGACAUUUAUUUUUUUCUUUCUCUCUCGCUGAAAUUGUCUCAGCUUGUUGUAUAAUUCUGGCAGUAGAAUUCCUGACAUCCUAGAUCAUACAGAUUACAGCUAGGCUCCUUUUAUACUUGUGUGUAUGUGUGUGUUUUCUCCAUAUAUUUAGGGUUAUAUGUGUAACAUUUCAAACAGGUUUCCUUAUAAUCAGUUUUGCUGUCUGUACUUGUUGACUAUGAAGGCCUCCAGAAAAGUUGUUUCAAAUAGAGAGCCCAGAUGCUUCUGUAUAUACAUCCUAUUCACCAAAACGAAUCUUUGCAAAAAAGUUGUUUUUAAUUGUUUGUAUAUUAACUAACCUGAAACAAACCUUGUGUUCCUUUAUAAACCAGUACUAAAAAACAGGAAUAUAUAUCUGCUAAUGGCCUUUAUUUCAAAGUGUCCAGAAAUAGUUCAGCUAGAAUUCUAUAGGUCAUUAACCAUAGACCUCUGUGGUAUUCUCUUUAGAAGUUCUGUGGCUGUUUGAUUUUGUGUGUUUCAUGUUGUCACCAAAGCCUAAAAGGAAUUGGUAUUACCGGACUGUAUUUGCAUUUAGAGUGUGACCAGUUCUCUAGGGUACAGAUGCUGGGCUAUUUAUGAAACAACUUCAGCUGACAGCUAAAGAUCAGAAGAUGCUAUUUUGGGAAGUGUCCUAAAUGUGAGGUUCUGUGGUGAAAAAUAUUUAGUGUCUUACAGAUAAGAUACUUAAAACAGGAAGCAGUGGUAACUUAUUACUUCCUUUGUAAAUAUCCUUAUCAGCAUGAUAAACUUUAGGUUUCAGUUCUGCUUUCCUGAUCCCAAGAGUUCUUUUCUUGUAAUCAUCUUCUAUAAGAGGACUCAAAAAUUUUUUAAAAAAAAGUCCAUGUAGGGGGAAGAGAAAUAAUUUACUAACAUCAUUUGUCUUGUCUUGAUAAGGUCCUUUCAUUUCCUACCACUCAUAGUUUUUGCUUGGCUAAGAGACAAAUUAUAUACUACUGUUCACUCAUUCAUUAGCUAUAUCUAUUGUGUGUGGAUAGUAUUGAUUCUCUAUUUGUUUUAGAGCAAGACUAGCUUGAUUAUUAUAAGUGAAAGAUCAAAUGAAAGUAUAGAACCACCAUCACAGACAAGAAAUGAGGAGAUGUGAAUUUUAUUCCCUAUUCUGCCACCUCCUGGAAACUGUCAUUCUUUGACCUGAUUUUCUGGUUCAUGAAAUUGGAGAUAGUAAUAUUUCCCUGGUCUGUCUUACAAUGUUGUUUUGUGGAACAAAUGAAAUAAUACAUGAAGGUAAAAUUGUACACUCUGAAUUGCUUCUCAUACAUAGAGUUUGUUAUGGUUUGAGUUACAUCCCAUCAACACCCCUUUCACCCUUAGAAUGUAGGGGUGCUUUUGGUUUUUGUUCCUUCCUUAUUAAAAAUGUUUUUUGAACUCAGUCAGCUUCCUAGAUUUCUUGGCUGGAAGACUAUAUCAUGAUUGAGUGCCUGAAAAGAUACAACAAUGUUGACUUUCUCAUUCAGAUAUUUAUUUUAUGAAGUAUGAGUAUGGUGUACUGUUAAAUUCUAGGAAACUGGGUUGCAUUUAUUAGCUUGGCAUAGAAAAAGCAAAGUUCUACAUGUGGGCUAAAUUAUGUGAUAAGCUGUAAGUAUAAAUCAGGAUUAAAUGCUGAAAUGUAUUUAUUAAAUUUUAAAAGGAGGUAGGUACGUGCGUUUUAUAGUUCCCGUGGAUUUAAUUAUAUAUAAUAUAUAGAAAAUAAAAGUAUGACUGGGGAGUGCCGAAUGUCUUCUUCCAUAGAAUUCUUGUAGAUAAAUGUCUCUGCUCUUGAGUCUCAGCACUCUUUGGCAGAGAGAUCCAGUGCUGUGUGCUGUACCGAGCGGAAGGCAGGACCGUCUUACAGAGAUGGGUAAAGGAAAGCCAAUGGCGUGACUCACUGACUUAACGAGUGCGCUAGAUCUGCUCUUGGAAGUAGGUCACAGAAUCUAAAUGAUGUGGUUUGCUUGUCCCAAUGAAAGAAACCUUUGGAGAGUGAGAACUAGCUAAACCCUGUCCCUUUGGCAGUGCGGGCUGUGUUGUUUGUGAUUUUAAAGGUUACCCUAUUUUUAUUUUUAUGGAAGGGAGUGGUGUAUGUAAAUAUGAGCUCGUUCUUGGUCCUGACUGACUUCAUUGAGGUCAGAAGGUGUUGGGGAAGGAUGAUGGUGAUGGGGCACUGCAUGGCUGCUGAGGAGUUUAUAGCUGGCGCCCCUUUCCUGUGCCCAAGCUUAUGGUAUCAGCCGCUGUCUGGUGGCUCAGGAAGCUCAUUUGUGUUCCAAAAUUACUUUAGAGCAUUCUGCUCCACCGUUCAAGGAAAAGGAAAGUAGAAAAUGAGGAGAGGAACAAAAGGAAUGAAGACCUAAAUGACCUCAGCAAAUCCUCCUCUAACUCAUGGGUACCUAGACUCUAAAUAUUUCGUGAUUCACAACUAGGACCUCAUAUCUUGCUUGUCAGUAGAUGGUACGAUGCAUCCAUUUCAGUGUGUUUACUUUAUCCAAUCCUCAGGAGUUUGUUGACUGAACUGCACAUUCUAUAUUGUGCCAAGCAAAAUGAGCACUGUGACACCAGAACAAUGAGUCUGCAUAAACUUCGUCUUCAACUUUAAGGACUUAGCUGGCCACAAUGAGCUGAUGUGCCCGCCACCGUGUCUUGAGAGAAUGAGUUUACUCUCAAUGCAUUUACAAGAUACAUUUCAUCUGCUGCUGAAAUUGUGUACAACAAAGCAUCACUGUAAAUUAUUUCAUAUGAAACUGUUCACAUUGGGUGGAGAGAGUAUUAAAUAUUUAACAUAGGCUUUGAUUUAUAUGUGUAAUUUUUUAAAUGAAAAUGUACCUUUUCUUACAGCACAUAUUUUUUUUUGGAUGUAGGACUGAGGUAUACAAGUUCUGUUGUAAACAGUGGAGCAAAUGCUUAAAACAAGGCUUAAAAGAGUAGAGUAGGGUGUGUUCCUUGUUUUAAGAUUGUAAUUCAGAAAAAACAAUAAGAAUCAUAGUGCCAUAGAUGGUUCUCAAUUGUAUAGUUAUAUUUGCUGAUACUAUUUCCUGUAAUAUCAACCUGAUGUUGAGCUGAGUUCCUUAUAAGAAUUAAUCUUAAUUUUGUAUUUUUUCUUGUAAGACAAUAGGCUAUGUUAAUUAAACUGAAGAAGGAUAUAUUCGACUGGGUGUUUUCAAGUGUCAGCUUAAAAUCAGCAGUUGAAUGGAAGCAAAAUUACAAGAAGAGGAAAUCAAAGUCUUCCAUUGUAUAUAUUGUAAAGAGAAGGAGACAUGGGUAAUUCCUUCAAAUCAAAAGCUCUCUUUGGAAUGAACAAUGUGGGUGUUUGUAAAUUCUGGAAAUGUCUUUCUAUUCAUAAUAAACUAGAUACUGUUGAUCUUUUCUUUUCUCCCCUCCCCACCCCCACUUUCUGUUAGUUUCCCGCUCUAUUCCCACCAUUUUUUUUCUGUGUACACAUUAUAUUUCGUUUCCUGCAUUGUCUUGAGAAGAUGGUAAGACAAGUGAACGCUUGCUAACCAGAAAUUAAAAUUCCAGAAAGUGUUUUUCAUCGUGACCAGGGCUACAUGUCACUUUCCCUAAGACCCUUAACUCAUGUUUUUUGAGAACUUCCAGUGUUACAUUAGUUAACUGAAUGUAAUUGGCCCAUUUGCCUUGGUGGGUGCUGGCCUGUUAGUGAUUAGUUAAUAAAACACAGUGUACAGAAAGCACGUAAAAGCUUAAUGACCUGCUACUGAAACAUGUAGCCAUCAGUGAAAAUGUUAAUUCUUUUCUUGUUCGAAAGUAUACAGGUCUUGGAAUUUUUUUCCAUGAGAAAAGGAAAUGGCAAUGAAUACAUUUAAAUAUAUUUCUGACAGAUUUUUAAAUCUUUUUACCUGGAAGCUUCCGAAAAAGUUAAGUGAAAUAAUGCAAAUAUCAGGCUCCCUCUGAGUCAAUAUAAACUCUCUAUCAGGAAUUCCCAGCCCUACUAUUGGAAGGAGCAACAUUUUAUUUCUCUGAGUGCCUAAGCUCCCUGGGUGGGAGUGGGGACUACAGGGAAGGGGCCAGGGUUGGAGGGCAUUGUAGUGGCUGCUGCCUCCUGAUGAACUGUUAGGGGACCCUAGCUCUACUCAAAAGGGAGCGGAGAUAAAUGGAACCCCUCACACUGCUGAGGCCUAUGUUACUGUUCAUUCAACCACAUGGCAUGUACCUCACAGACAGUUAUGCAAUGUUCAUUGUUGCAGAUUUUAAUCAUUUGCAUGCUCAUCAAUUUCUAAGAUAAAUAGGGUCUAGAGUCAUAAGAAUCCAUUGUUUUCAAGGAACUUGCAGAAUGACAUCAUUUCCUAUUAGUAGAGAGCACUACCCAUUUGGAAAAUCUGAUAGAAAAGUUGUUUUUCACUCUUUCAUAAAAAAGACUUUCUUAGUCAAACUAACUUUUCAUGUUUUCAAGUAGUCUGAUUCAUACUCUUGCCAGUGGAAGAAGAGAGCAAGUGCCCUGAUCUGUUUCUUUGAGGACUGAAAUAGUUAAAAAGAAAUCAAUGAACAAAGUCACUACCAACCAUUUUUCUGUAAAGCUGAUUAUUAUUUCUCAAGGAACCUAUAUUUUGAAUAUCUGUUACCGAGAUACCUCUGCAUGUGUAAUUCUCAACAUGUUUUGGAUGAGGACAGGAAUGAACAGACUGGAAAAAUCUGUCUCUAUUUCUCUGACUUUUUUCUUGAGUCAAAUAGCAUAAAGGUAGAAAUUCUUAUGUAAGCUGCUUCUAGUGGUGCCUGACCUGGUUUUUAUGGUGGCAUCAAACUACCGAUUUAAAACUGGAAGUUGCUGGUACUCAAACCAAAAACUCAUGCUCUGGCGACAGGAAGAGUUUACUUUGAGCAACGUCAGCUGCUAAGUCCUUGUGUUCAGUUCCCAUUGAGGAGAGCUGGCUUUUAUCCAUUUCAAAGGGUUGUAGGCCAGCCAAGGGCUUUCAUUAUUGAGGCUUCUAGUGGCCUCUGUUUAACCUAGAAGUUAGUGGGUUUUUCUUCGUGACACCAACCUCUCAGCUUUAUUUCUUAGAGACUUAGGUGGAGUUUAAAAAUUCUCUUUUGUGAAAAGAACAAAUAUAUUUCACGACUUUGAUGAUAUCUUCAUUCUGGGCAAAAGAAUGGCCCUAGAACCAGCUAGAAGUGAAGAGAAUCCAUUAAUGAUCAACCACCUGAGUCAAUAAUGACAAAUCAGUACUGAUGUUACAUUUGUGGCUAUUUCUCACUGACUUUCAAAGGUCAGGGACUCCCUUGACUAAUCUAGUGACUGCAAAAAUGGAGCUACUAAAAAUCAUCUAGCCAGAAGUAGAGAUUUUUAACCUUUCUUUCUCUGGCUUUUGUAUUCUAGCUGUCACAUAAAUUUGAGACAUUUAAAGUAUUAAGAAAUAAUUUUUCUGUACAGUAAGAAACAAUAUUUUACAAACUGAAGCGCUGUUUUAUUCCAUCUUGCAUCCUGAAUGCAAUAUACCACGAAGUUGGAAACCUUAAUUUUAUUUACUGCAGGUGGUUAAAAAAAGGGGGGAUGGGUUUCACUAUCCACAGACAAUGACAACCAUGAAAAAUAGUCUCCAUACGCAUUGUUCCAGCUGCUGGUGACAGUGAUCCUAUAUUUGGUCUCAUGCUACUUUUGCAGAGAGCUCUGUAGGUCAGUCCAUCACACAAGGAGGCCCUGAAUCCAGACACUGUGAAUUAAGACCUUGACUGGGAAGACACAUGACCCGUUUGGUAGGCAUGGGAAGGAGAAUUGGUGGAAGCCAAUAUGAAAUUUCUUCUUUGCAAUGACUUGACAGGGCAGUUAAUGUUCCUAGAAUGCCAUGAAUGAUGAAUGUUAGUUGGAAGUAAUGCUGUAUAUGUAUGUAUAUAUAUACAUAUAUAGGGGGCAUGCACACGUGCACGUGUGUAUGUGUAUAGGCUGGUAAGAAACUCGAGAGGAAGAAACAUGCUCUUCUAGAAAUGUGAGGAAAUAUGACCUUGCCAAGACUAAAAGACCUCCAUACUGUGAGCUCAGUUAUGGAGAACAAAAACAACAUCCUAGGCAGUAGAACGAUGAUAAACACUGGUGCCGUGCAUCAUGUCUAAGGCAGUGCCACAGAACUUCAUGGUCCUUCCAUAGUUCUGUAAGUUAGUUUCCUAAGUUUGGGUAAAGAAUGUGUAGCCUGUUGUGUGUCUCAGCUUUGGAAGAGAGCAUCAGAUUAGGUGCAGGGAGGAGGUGGAAUGAUAUUGGAGGUGCUUAACCCUACUCGAGGAAUUUAUGAAUAAAGAGCUUAUAUUUAGCUAGUAUGAUUAGAAAACACGUAAUUAGGUGGAGAGUUAUCUUUCUUUUCUAGUUUGUCAAUGACUUGGCAUUUGUGACGUAUACACCGAAAGAUCUGGUGUUUUAGAGUUCUGCCAUUCACCUGGCAUUUAAAUGUCUGUUUGCUUAUGCUGUUAAUUUUUCCAGUGUUAACCAAUAUGCCAUAUGAUAGGACAAAUUCAGUAAACAGGAAAACUUGUCUGUAUGUGCAUAGACAUUUGUAGAGAUUUUUUUUUCUCUUUAGAACUUUGCCAUUGGCUUAAGAAUGUAGUUCCCACAAUUUUUUCUUGCAAAGUACUUUCCUUACACCUGUUGGCUAUAGGGUGGGCCAAAUUAAACACAUAUGUAUUUUCAUUUAAUGUGUGUGGAGUUUGGUUUAUCAUCUUAAGAUGGUGGUGCUGCUCCCGGUGCUACUUCAUAUGUGUACACAAAGACCAAUGCAUGGUCUGUAUUGCUACCAAAACAUUUACUGUAUAUAUGUGUAUAACAUGUAUUAUGUACAUAUGUAAUGGGUACCAGGCCAGGUAUAUAAUUUUUAUUUAGAAGUGUUUCACUUUUCCAAGUUUUCUUUAUAGUGUUAUGCUUAUUUUCAUUUUUUUUUUCCUGAUUCUGUCUGGUACUUAGAAUUGUAGUGUCUUCAUCAUCAAUUAAAGAAAAUUGUCUAAAUGAA